UCCCUGGUGGCUCAGACAGUAAAGCAUCUGCCUGCCAUGCAGGAGACCCAGGUUCGAUCCCUGGGUUGGGAA
Molecule: transfer RNA, 72 nt
Filed under: Ovis aries (sheep)
Lineage: Eukaryota; Metazoa; Chordata; Mammalia; Artiodactyla; Bovidae
Rfam family: tRNA
About the family: Transfer RNA (tRNA) molecules are approximately 80 nucleotides in length. Their secondary structure includes four short double-helical elements and three loops (D, anti-codon, and T loops). Further hydrogen bonds mediate the characteristic L-shaped molecular structure. tRNAs have two regions of fundamental functional importance: the anti-codon, which is responsible for specific mRNA codon recognition, and the 3' end, to which the tRNAs corresponding amino acid is attached (by aminoacyl-tRNA synthetases). tRNAs cope with the degeneracy of the genetic code in two manners: having more than one tRNA (with a specific anti-codon) for a particular amino acid; and 'wobble' base-pairing, i.e. permitting non-standard base-pairing at the 3rd anti-codon position.
Source: Rfam by way of RNAcentral